CACCGCGUAGCUCAGUUGGAAGAGCAUUGGGCUAGCAUUCCAAAGGUCGUAGGUUCGAAUCCCACCGUGGCCG
This 73-nucleotide transfer RNA is filed under the name Paramuricea clavata. It matches the Rfam family "tRNA". From Rfam's summary of the family: Transfer RNA (tRNA) molecules are approximately 80 nucleotides in length. Their secondary structure includes four short double-helical elements and three loops (D, anti-codon, and T loops). The record is from Rfam by way of RNAcentral. Lineage: Eukaryota; Metazoa; Cnidaria; Anthozoa; Malacalcyonacea; Plexauridae.